GCAUUAAUCGGGUAGUGGUAACCUUGGUCGUUGCCAGAUUAGCCUGUUCGACCAGCCGCGAGUUCAAUUCUUGUUUAAUGCA
This is a non-coding RNA of Sphaerobolus stellatus SS14, 82 nucleotides long. The record is from the annotation of a GenBank genome assembly. Lineage: Eukaryota; Fungi; Basidiomycota; Agaricomycetes; Geastrales; Sphaerobolaceae.